Molecule: ribosomal RNA, 468 nt
Filed under: uncultured bacterium
Lineage: Bacteria
Description: partial 16S ribosomal RNA
Rfam family: Bacterial small subunit ribosomal RNA
Source: RNAcentral
GACGAACGCUGGCGGCGUGCUUAAUACAUGCAAGUCGAACGGAAAGGCCCUGCUUUUGUGGGGUGCUCGAGUGGCGAACGGGUGAGUAACACGUGAGUAACCUGCCCUUGACUUUGGGAUAACUUCAGGAAACUGGGGCUAAUACCGGAUAGGAGCUCCUGCUGCAUGGUGGGGGUUGGAAAGUUUCGGCGGUUGUGGCUGGACUCGCGGCUUAUCAGCUUGUUGGUGUGGUAGUGGCUUACCAAGGGUUCGACGGGUAGCCGGCCUGGGAGGGUGACCGGCGUCAUGGGGACUAAGAUAGGCCGCAGUAUGCAACGGGAGGCAGCGGGCGGAAGUAUUACGGAGUGGGCGCGAGCCUGAUACGGCAGCGCCCGGUGCGGAAUGCUGUGCUACGGGUGGUGAACAACUGUGGACUGUGACGUGGCCUGCUUGACGGUAAUGAAUCAGAAAGCACCGGCUAACUACGUG